This 484-nucleotide ribosomal RNA is filed under the name uncultured bacterium. RNAcentral's name for it is "partial 16S ribosomal RNA". It matches the Rfam family "Bacterial small subunit ribosomal RNA", at positions 30 to 507 of the family's 1533-position model. The record is from RNAcentral.
AUUGAACGCUGGCGGCAGGCCUAACACAUGCAAGUCGAGCGGACGAAGGGAGCUUGCUCCUGGAUUCAGCGGCGGACGGGUGAGUAAUGCCUAGGAAUCUGCCUGGUAGUGGGGGAUAACGUCCGGAAACGGGCGCUAAUACCACAUACGUCCUGAGGGAGAAAGUGGGGGAUCUUCGGACCUCACGCUAUCAGAUGAGCCUAGGUCGGAUUAGCUAGUUGGUGGGGUAAAGGCCUACCAAGGCGACGAUCCGUAACUGGUCUGAGAGGAUGAUCAGUCACACUGGAACUGAGACACGGUCCAGACUCCUACGGGAGGCAGCAGUGGGGAAUAUUGGACAAUGGGCGAAAGCCUGAUCCAGCCAUGCCGCGUGUGUGAAGAAGGUCUUCGGAUUGUAAAGCACUUUAAGUUGGGAGGAAGGGCAGUAAGUUAAUACCUUGCUGUUUUGACGUUACCAACAGAAUAAGCACCGGCUAACUUCGUG